GAUGAACGCCGGCGGCGUGCUUAACACAUGCAAGUCGAACGAAGCACUUUAUUUGAUUUCCUUCGGGACUGAUUAUUUUGUGACUGAGUGGCGGACGGGUGAGUAACGCGUGGGUAACCUGCCUUGUACAGGGGGAUAACAGUUGGAAACGGCUGCUAAUCCCGCAUAAGCGCACAGCAUCGCAUGAUGCAGUGUGAAAAACUCCGGUGGUAUAAGAUGGACCCGCGUUGGAUUAGCUAGUUGGUGAGGUAACGGCCCACCAAGGCGACGAUCCAUAGCCGACCUGAGAGGGUGACCGGCCACAUUGGGACUGGGACACGGCCCAAACUCCUACGGGAGGCAGCAGUGGGGAAUAUUGCACAAUGGGCGAAAGGCUGAUGCAGCGACGCCGCGUGAGCGAAGAAGUAUUUCGGUAUGUAAAGCUCUAUAAGCAGGGAAGAUGAUGACGGUACCUGACUAAGAAGCACCGGCUAAAUACGUG
This 481-nucleotide ribosomal RNA is filed under the name uncultured bacterium. Its description in RNAcentral is "partial 16S ribosomal RNA". It matches the Rfam family "Bacterial small subunit ribosomal RNA", at positions 28 to 507 of the family's 1533-position model. The record is from RNAcentral.